This 1346-nucleotide ribosomal RNA is filed under the name uncultured bacterium. RNAcentral's name for it is "bacterial SSU rRNA". It matches the Rfam family "Bacterial small subunit ribosomal RNA", at positions 42 to 1379 of the family's 1533-position model. The record is from RNAcentral.
ACAGGCUUAACACAUGCAAGUCGAGGGGCACCUGGGUAGUGCUUGCACUACUGCCGGCGACCGGCGCACGGGUGAGUAACACGUAUGGAACCUGCCCGCAGCAGGGGGAUAAGCGGAAGAAAUUCCGUCUAAUACCGCGUAAGAACGUUGGGAGGCAUCUCCCGAUGUUUAAAGAUUUAUCGGCUGCGGAUGGCCAUGCGGCGCAUUAGCUAGUCGGCGGGGUAACGGCCCACCGAGGCGACGAUGCGUAGGGGUUCUGAGAGGAAGGUCCCCCACACUGGUACUGAGACACGGACCAGACUCCUACGGGAGGCAGCAGUGAGGAAUAUUGGUCAAUGGCCGAGAGGCUGAACCAGCCAAGUCGCGUGAGGGAAGACGGCCCUACGGGUUGUAAACCUCUUUUGUCGGGGAGCAAAGCGAACCACGUGUGGUUCAUUGAGAGUACCCGAAGAAAAAGCAUCGGCUAACUCCGUGCCAGCAGCCGCGGUAAUACGGAGGAUGCGAGCGUUAUCCGGAUUUAUUGGGUUUAAAGGGUGCGCAGGCGGAGGUGCAAGUCAGCGGUCAAAUUGCGGGGCUCAACCCCGUACUGCCGUUUGAACUGCAUCCCCUUGAGUGCGCGAGAAGUAUGCGGAAUGCGUGGUGUAGCGGUGAAAUGCAUAGAUAUCACGCAGAACUCCGAUUGCGAAGGCAGCAUACCGGCGCGUAACUGACGCUCAUGCACGAAAGCGUGGGUAUCGAACAGGAUUAGAUACCCUGGUAGUCCACGCAGUAAACGAUGAACACUAACUGUUCGGCCAGAAUGAUGGCUGAGUGGUACAGCGAAAGCGUUAAGUGUUCCACCUGGGGAGUACGCCGGCAACGGUGAAACUCAAAGGAAUUGACGGGGGCCCGCACAAGCGGAGGAACAUGUGGUUUAAUUCGAUGAUACGCGAGGAACCUUACCCGGGCUCAAACGACACAGGAAUACUUUUGAAAGGAGGUAGCCCUACGGGGUCUGUGUCGAGGUGCUGCAUGGUUGUCGUCAGCUCGUGCCGUGAGGUGUCGGCUUAAGUGCCAUAACGAGCGCAACCCCUAUCGCCAGUUACCAUCAAGUAAAGUUGGGGACUCUGGCGAGACUGCCGGCGCAAGCUGAGAGGAAGGCGGGGAUGACGUCAAAUCAGCACGGCCCUUACGUCCGGGGCGACACACGUGUUACAAUGGCAGGUACAGAGAGAAGCCAGGUGGCGACACCGCGCGGAACUCGAAAGCCUGUCUCAGUUCGGAUCGGAGUCUGCAACCCGACUCCGUGAAGCUGGAUUCGCUAGUAAUCGCAAAUCAGCCAUGGCGCGGUGAAUACGUUCCCGGGC